Molecule: unclassified non-coding RNA, 386 nt
Filed under: Artemisia bigelovii
Lineage: Eukaryota; Viridiplantae; Streptophyta; Magnoliopsida; Asterales; Asteraceae
Description: partial external transcribed spacer
Source: RNAcentral
UUUGGUUUGUUACGUGUGGUUGGCUGCGGCGUUUGCAACAACUUCCAUGCUUUCAGACCUCUUCAUUUGUGCGGCAAGGCUUGUAUCGCCUUGAGCGUAUUGUGGGUUUUCUGUGUUGAAUACCUAAUCAAUGGUAUCGGUUGGAUUGAUCAAUGUUUCAUUUCGUCUGUCGUCGCAUUCGCGGCGUGAGAUGAACCUUGAUGCGGUCUCUUUGAUCCACCUYGUUGAAGCGCAUGCUUUGACGUUGUGGCGCAUUGAGCAUUGCUUGGUCUCUUGUAUGCGGAACAUGUAGUGGGCAUGAAUCUCACGAUUCUUGUUUGCCCUCAUAUUAGCGUAACGCUUCUCUUACACGACUUGCUCCACGUUUUAGCUYGUACGGACGUGGU